AUCUAGCUGACGAGUCCCGAAUUGGACGAAACGCGCGUCCUGGAU
RNAcentral lists this non-coding RNA (45 nucleotides) under Schistosoma curassoni. The record is from RNAcentral. Lineage: Eukaryota; Metazoa; Platyhelminthes; Trematoda; Strigeidida; Schistosomatidae.